Molecule: ribosomal RNA, 695 nt
Filed under: uncultured bacterium
Lineage: Bacteria
Description: bacterial SSU rRNA
Rfam family: Bacterial small subunit ribosomal RNA
Source: RNAcentral
GACGGCAGCACGGGAGCUUGCUCCUGGUGGCGAGUGGCGAACGGGUGAGUAAUGCGUCGGAACGUACCGAGUAAUGGGGGAUAACGCAGCGAAAGCUGUGCUAAUACCGCAUACGCCCUGAGGGGGAAAGUGGGGGAUCGCAAGACCUCACGUUAUUCGAGCGGCCGACGUCUGAUUAGCUAGUUGGUGGGGUAAUGGCCUACCAAGGCGACGAUCAGUAGCGGGUCUGAGAGGAUGAUCCGCCACACUGGGACUGAGACACGGCCCAGACUCCUACGGGAGGCAGCAGUGGGGAAUUUUGGACAAUGGGGGCAACCCUGAUCCAGCCAUUCCGCGUGAGUGAAGAAGGCCUUCGGGUUGUAAAGCUCUUUCAGCUGGAACGAAACGGUACAGGCUAAUACCCUGUGCUAAUGACGGUACCGGCAGAAGAAGCACCGGCUAACUACGUGUCAGCAGCCGCGGUAAUACGUAGGGUGCGAGCGUUAAUCGGAAUUACUGGGCGUAAAGCGUGCGCAGGCGGAUUGUUAAGCAAGAUGUGAAAUCCCCGGGCUUAACCUGGGAAUGGCAUUUUGAACUGGCAGUCUAGAGUGCGUCAGAGGGGGGUGGAAUUCCACGUGUAGCAGUGAAAUGCGUAGAGAUGUGGAGGAACACCAAUGGCGAAGGCAGCCCCCUGGGAUGACACUGACGCUCAUGUA